UUGGACUUUAGGACUUAAUUGACAGUUGUAAUUGUCUAUCUUAUCGAAAAUGUCAAAUAGAAUGGACAUUUUAGACAAGAGAGGAGCAUGACCAAUAGAGGUGAAGCAAUGAAGGAGAGUAGCGACAAUCAUAGCAAAGAGGGUGAAGUGAUUUCCAUUGAAGCCAUAGAUGACGAGGAUGAAGAGAUCAACAAAUGUAACUGUGUGGGGACUCCCGCAAUGUUAAGGUUGGAGGAACUUUUGAUGAGGGUGAUCGAUUAAUAAGAUAAAAAUGUGAGCUAGUUGUCAUUUUAGAGAACUGGAAAAACUGGUCCACAUAAUUAUGUAAAACACAUAAUUAUAUUUUACAGUAUAGCAAAUUUCUAAUUCAAAGGAAAAUAUACCGAGUAUGGUAGUCUACAUAAAUUGCUUGGAAUGCCACAACCCCACAUAAGUGAUAGAGACCCAAUGUUAUUGGUCCUUUUGCAAGGGAUAAUAUUGAAAAUGGAUUCUUCUUACCAUCCAGAGACCAACAGACGAAUGAAAAUUGUCAAUUGAUGUUUGGAAGCAUAUUCGCAUUGUUCUGCGUCAUUCCUGAAACUAGUCUUAUUGGAUAUCAUGGACUGAGUUUUAGUAUAAUAUCACAUUUCAUGUGUCAACAAGAACCACUCAUUUUGAGACGAUUUAUGGACAAAAGCCACCAACCUUAAUACAAUUCCUACAAGGAAAAACAAAAGUAGAAGUUGUUGCAACAGAGCUGGUUGACAUGGUCAACUCAAACUUCAUCUCACCAAAGCUCACGAACAAAUGAUAAGGUAUGCAUAUAAGAAGAGAAGAGAUGUAAGCUUUGAAGUAGGAGAAUGGGUAUUCUUGAAGUUAGGCUACACAGUUGGCAGUGUCAUUACAAUCUCAUUGACAAAAUCAACGACAUUGCAAUUAUUUUCAAUUGGCUGAAGAACAUGUAUAACAAAUUAAAGAGUUGAAGAAAGUUGCUAGGCUACAUUGGGUGCAAAGUGGUGAAAUAAAUAGGGUAAAGACAUUAGCUUGUACUAAUCUUGCCUAUGACUACUGCACUGUUAAUGUUAUUUUCUCCCAUUUGAGGGCAUAUUAACCAAAUUGCAUUUACAUGACAUUUAUGAUUCA
This is a non-coding RNA of Cicer arietinum (chickpea), 1122 nucleotides long. NCBI's taxonomy places the organism in Eukaryota, Viridiplantae, Streptophyta, Magnoliopsida, Fabales, Fabaceae. The record is from RefSeq and is a predicted model, not a curated record.